This is a non-coding RNA of Meleagris gallopavo (turkey), 1242 nucleotides long. The record is from RefSeq and is a predicted model, not a curated record. Lineage: Eukaryota; Metazoa; Chordata; Aves; Galliformes; Phasianidae.
UAGUCAGAACAGUAGGAAAGAGCAUUCCACUUGGCAUUAAGUUUAUCGCUUUCCCAUUUACUAUAUCUGGAAACAGAUGAAUUCUCUGCUUCCCACGUGUUUAACACAGAAAACUGUCAUCUUGGAGAACAUGACAGUCAGUUUUUCUAGUUGCAGUCCCUUACCUGGAACAGCAGAGUAUUAAAAGUACUCCCAGGGAGAUAAAGAUGUCAUAUUUUAUUCAUUUGAGCUAACUUUUCCCACUGACUUUGUGACUGUCUUCAGGAACUACCUGAUUUAGAAGACAUAGAUGUAAAGGAAUUUCCUCCAGAAGAGGAAAUAUUUAUUCAAAAGCAAGAAUAUCAGCCAAAGAUUGAAAUAAUUUCUGAAACGACAAAUGAUGGUGAUUCUGCAUUAGAGGAAAGCAAUAAAAACACAUUUGAGGACUCAGUAGGAGAAGCUGCAACAUCUAUUUUUUCAAAUGUGCGUAAGAUCCAUAAAGAGCAAGAAAAGGAGUGCUUUAGACCCCUUGUUAAAGAAUUCCUUACAGAGUCUUCUUAUUCAGAAAAAGACAAACCAGCUAAGCCUAGUAAAGUCUUGGUACAGGAGCUUAUCACCCAACCUACUGAUAACCUACUGUUGUCAUCAGUCUGCAGUCAGCCAGAUGACCCCAGCCAAUGGGAAGGGGACAGGAAGAUCACCAUCGCUUGCUCUGGGAACAGUAGUGAUGGAGGAGUACAGUUGUUGACUGAAGGUGAAGAGUGUUCUCAUGAACCCCAUGACAACAUAGGCAGUGAGAGGGGAUUAGAUUGAUGGCUUCCAAUACAACUGAUCAUAUCUGGAGCAUCAUGCCUGGCUGACUGCGUACAGUUGUUCUCAAGAUGCAAAGUUCAGCAAUGGAACUGCUUGCUAAAACAGACUUUACACUUAUUAUGAAAACCCAUUGCCUUAAACAUGAGCAUUUCAGUCAUUCAGAACUGAUGUUGCUCCAACACAUAAACUUCAGGGCUGGUAAGGAGUGCCUCAUGUUCCCCCUUCCAAAGGUGCUCGUCUCUUUGGGGCAGCUUUCCAGCUGCACUACCAGUAAAAGUGAGGCUGGCACUUGUGUUUUAAGGUUAAAUUCCACUCUGUCAUGUCUUUUCCUUUCCAUUGCAUCCUUUUGGAAAUGUUUCUUCUGUAAUUUAUGGUUUGUUACUUAGUUUCAAUCCAUAUUGUAACACAUUUCUGUCAUUUGAACUAAAUAAAUAUUCUACUUGUAACCUA